GAUGAACGCUGGCGGCGUGCCUAAUACAUGCAAGUCGAGCGAACAGACGAGGAGCUUGCUCCUCUGACGUUAGCGGCGGACGGGUGAGUAACACGUGGAUAACCUACCUAUAAGACUGGGAUAACUUCGGGAAACCGGAGCUAAUACCGGAUAAUAUAUUUAACCGCAUGGUUCAAUAGUGAAAAACGGUUUUUCUGUCACUUAUAGAUGGAUCCGCGCCGCAUUAGCUAGUUGGUAAGGUAACGGCUUACCAAGGCAACGAUGCGUAGCCGACCUGAGAGGGUGAUCGGCCACACUGGAACUGAGACACGGUCCAGACUCCUACGGGAGGCAGCAGUAGGGAAUCUUCCGCAAUGGGCGAAAGCUUGACGGAGCAACGCCGCGUGAGUGAUGAAGGUCUUCGGAUCGUAAAACUCUGUUAUUAGGGAAGAACAAAUGUGUAAGUAACUAUGCACGUCUUGACGGUACCUAAUCAGAAAGCCACGGCUAACUACGUG
This 497-nucleotide ribosomal RNA is filed under the name uncultured bacterium. RNAcentral describes it as "partial 16S ribosomal RNA". It matches the Rfam family "Bacterial small subunit ribosomal RNA", at positions 28 to 507 of the family's 1533-position model. The record is from RNAcentral.